UGAAAAAGGCCCUUUCUAAACAAGAGAUGCAGUCUGCUGGAUCGCAAAGAGGCCGUGGAGGUGGAUCUGGCAACUUUAUGGGUCGUGGAGGAAACUUUGGAGGUGGUGGAGGGAAUUUUGGCCGUGGUGGAAACUUUGGUGGAAGAGGAGGUUACGGUGGUGGAGGAGGUGG
Molecule: long non-coding RNA, 172 nt
Organism: Octodon degus (degu)
Lineage: Eukaryota; Metazoa; Chordata; Mammalia; Rodentia; Octodontidae
Exons: 3
Source: RefSeq, a predicted model, not a curated record